Cavia porcellus (domestic guinea pig) is the source of this 4929-nucleotide long non-coding RNA. RefSeq lists it as uncharacterized. The record is from RefSeq and is a predicted model, not a curated record. NCBI's taxonomy places the organism in Eukaryota, Metazoa, Chordata, Mammalia, Rodentia, Caviidae. The transcript is spliced from 2 exons.
UUAGCACAGGAAAAUUCUGGGUAUUUAUUAUUUAUUUGUUGGUGCUCCUCAGAAUGGAACCCACUGCCUUCUCAUUGAGCUACAUCCUCAGCCUACUUUUUAAGUUGUUUUUGCUAUAAGACAGGACUUCGCUAAGUUAUUAAGUUAACCAGCCCAGACAUGAAUUUAUGGUACUCCCAACUCAGCCUCAAAGAGUAUUGGGAUUACAGGCAUGUGCUACCAGACCUUGUUAAAAUUCUGCUUUUUACUAUGACAGAAUUAUGCUGUGUAGCCAGGCACUCCUGCAAUCUAGCACUUAGGAGGCUGAGGCAGGAGAGUUGUUUGCAAAUUUGAGACCAGCCUGGGCUAUAAAGUAAGCCCACAUCCAGCCUCAACUGCAUAGUGAGACCCUGUCUCAAAGACAGAGAGAGAGUGGCGGGGGGGAUUGUGUUACAUUUCUCUUUUUUGUGUUUUGGGGCAGAUAACUCAAAUAAAAUGUCCAUUCCUUGACAUAACAGCAACAUGUUUUGCCCAGGGUAUAAAAAUAUAGAUUAAAUUAGUGAACAAUUCAUUCCAUAGAUUUCUGUGCUAAACCAAAAAAACUGAGAGAGAGAAUUACCCACGGAGUACAGGAAAUACACCCCAAACCAAGUUAGUUUUUCUGAUGGUGAUUUCUAGAACACUAAGAAAAUCUUUGAGACAUGGUUUCCUCCUCUGUACAGUGUGGACGGCUGCUGAGAGAGCUGAGUAACAGUAGCAGGGCAGUGCUGUACUGAGUCAAAUUAGAACCAGGGAAAAAAGGAAAAUUCAGUAAGACUGCACUGACCAGUCUUUAAACUCCUAGUAAAUUGCUCCCACAGACUUCUGGUAUUGUUUUGAUUUUUUAAAACUGUACAAUUAUUUGUCAUGAUUUCUUUGGCGCCUCUUUUAGAUUUCAAGCUUGAAAUAACUCGUUCAUUCCCUUUGCUUGUCUUGGUCUUAAAACACAAGGUUUGCCAUGAAUCUGGAGUCAGUGAAUGUUAAAUACAUGUAUUUAUGCUCAUCCAUGGCUCUAUCAUCUAAAUUCAUAAAUAGGUCAGGCUAAAUGCCUUAGAGAAAUUCUAAUGCAGGGAUUGUUGAGCUUAACUCAAAAGAAAAUUGGAUUAAUUUGGUUUAACUCAAAAUUAUCACCUGUUUCAUCCCUAACAUAGGAAGAAAAACUUUAGGAAGGAUGAAGUAGGUUUAAAGUGUUAACUCUGUUUUUUUUUUCUUUUUGUGAAUGAAGGUUAAGAAGCUCAUAGUUUUCUUAACACUAGAAUACCGAGUACAGAUUAGACCUAUUUAUUAAGUUUCUAAGUCCCUAUAAACUGCUUAUUUGAACAAAGUUAUUAGAAGGUGAGGGGAAACAACAUUGGUAGGAGUUUCACCAUACCCUAUGCAUUCCAAACCAUUUAUUUUUAUUUAACCUCAUUUUAUCAGGGUAUUUGAAACUAGAGAGAUUCAUUGAUGAAAUCACAAGUGUUUGAAAAUUCACCUUUGAUGUUAUCUAUAAUUUUUUAAUGCCUAAAUACUACACUCAGAAAAAUAUAGUAGUCAUGAAAUAUUGGAGCUAAAAGGUCUUUUUUUCUGGUCCCAGGACUUGAACUCAUGACCUCAUGCUUGCCAGGCUGAAGCUAAAAUGUCUUAAAUAAAUUCCAACCCAAGAGUUGUGGAGGUAUAAGCGUCUCAGAGAAACAUAACAAAACACAUGUGUCGUAAGUGUGGUGGCCUCACCUGUCAUUCUAGCUCUGGGAGGCUGAAAAAGGAGGAUUUCAAGUACAAACCAGCUUAGGCAACUUAAAGAAAGAAAAAAAUUAAAGGUCUGGGACUAUAGCUUACUCUCAAGACCUUGAGUUCAAUAAGUAAAUAAAAAUAGGUGGUUAACAAAAUAAAAACUAGCUGGUGAUUUAGCUCAGUGGCAUAAGCUCCUGUCUUGCAAGUGCGUGGUCAGUUCAUCCUCCAUACCGAUUUAAAAAAAAAAACCUAAAAAAUUUCAAAACCUGACACAUGUGGCUUUUCCAGAUGUCUCAGCGAGUGCAAUGGCUGCAGCUUCAUGUCCCUGCCCGUGGACAACCUGCUGCCAGCCUGAUACAUGACUUGGGUGGGCGUGCCCCCUCAUCAGCUGCAGGAAGUGGGAAAAGCUGAAAGCCCUAAGCUUGCUCUAACCUCAUUGGAUGGAGUGGAGAGCCCAGGGGGUGGGUCCACAUCUGAAUCACGCAGGUGUCAGAGCUGGCAGCAGGGCCGAUGGAGUCUUGGGGCCUCAGCCAGCUCCUGUGGGUUUCCUUAUCAAGUAGUGUUGAAAGGCUGUGCACCUGGGAGACACAGUGGCUAAAGGCACAUGCUGAAAAAUCCCACUGCCAGUCUGCCAAAUUAGCUACCACCACUUGUUAGCUAUUUGAUCUUAGCUACUUGACAUUUUAAAAACCUUAGUCUCCUCAUUAGUAACAGGGAAAUAUCUACUGAGUUAACCCCUGGUUUGCAGUGGUGAUUAAGUGAAGGCAAUGUACCAUCAUUAGGUGCCCAGCAGGAUGGUGGUCUUUUUUAUCAACUGUCACCUAGACUGAUAGCUGGAAUUAGUGAUUUGGUCUCCAGGGUCUUCACUGCUGUCUCAACAACACCAGAAACAUCUUCUGCUUAGUAUACUUGAUUUAUGGACUAAUUUACUUAUCAGAGUUAUCUAUUCAUUAAAAAAGACUUGUUGAGGAAAGUACUUAGUAGUCACUGCUGUAUCUUGCGUUAGUGUAGCAUCCCUGGCGUCUUUGUGAGAGGAAAGGCCGCACAUGCUCUGGUCUUGUGCUUUGUUUUCUGCUAGGACUUUCUUGAAAUGGGUCAUCCGUUCCCCUAGCACGUGUACCCACAGCUUCACCAAGAUCACCACGUCUUCUGAAGUCAACUCUCACAUUUUUAUACAGCUUGCUGCAUACAUUUCCAUUUCCUGCUUUUGACGCUUAAGUCUUGAGAGACUGCUGCACUGCUUGUCGUUUAAAAAGUACUCAGGAGCUGUCUUUUGGUACCAAGAAUGAGACAAAGUGUAAACAAUCACAGCGUUAAGUGAAAUAAAUUAGACACACAGGCAUACAUGUGGGAUGGUUUUUCUUAUGUGAUAAGCCCAAAGUAUAAAUCAAGGAGCAAAAUAAAGGCUAGAUAAUAAGAAUCAGAGCGAUAGAGCUUUAUCAAGUAGGGAAGAGAUCUAGAGAUGGAGAGAGGGGGUUGGGGAAAGAGGGGAAGUGAAUUAAGUUGUGCAAGUACCAACUCCCCAUGAUGAAUAUAGUCACUAUGCAUGCAAGCAUGUCCUAAUAAAAGCAUUUGGUAAGUUAUAAGGACUCUUAAAAAGGACCUCUCCAUCCUAAAAGGUAAAGUUGAAUCAGCUAACAUAGAGUCAAUACAAUUAAUGGAUCAUUACCUACUGAUUUGUACAAACUCCACAGUUACACUCACAGUAUUGUAAUUGGAACAUGCAUGUGCUUGCUUGAGGGUCCCUGUGUCAGUCAGCUUUUCUGUUACUAGGACACAAUACCUGACACCCACAAAUUAGAAGAGGAGAAGUUUAAUCUGUUUGACAGUGUAGGGAGUUUCAGUACAUAGUUAGCUCGGUCCAAGGCAGAAAUAUCAUGGCAUAAGGGAGUGUUAGAGCAAUGGUGCUUAGUUCAUGGUGACCAGGGAGCCGAGCAAGGGAACUGUACAAGAGAACAUGAGAUAAAGGACUAAGUGUAGUACCCAAUACCGCCCCUCCAUGACACACCCAGACACUCAAGAAAUGUGUGAGUCCCAAAACAACCAAACAAACAAUGAAAACCAACAAUCACAGUCUCGUGAAGAUCCUGUCUCUUCCUUCUCCUUUCCCCCCACUUAGGGAACACUUAACUGUGGAUUGACUUGGUGAAUAACAGGAGUCUGUCCCUAAGGAGAAAGAAGUGAAACAUGGAUAGAAGGUAACGUUCUUCCAGGAACCCUGAAUCUGCACAAUGCCCCUCUCAUUCCAUCAGUCUCUGUUGUCACAUUUCCAUCUCAAUUCCUGCCCCAGGUGAUACUGCUCCCUGGGAGAGGAAACCAGCCAUCACUGCACCCCUGUGCUAACCCACUAGCUUGCUGAAGUGUGCAGAUAAAGAAGCCUGGAAAAAAACUAAUAAAAGUUUUCCUAAUGAUAUGUCAGUUUUUCAAAUUGCUUCUUUCAUUCACACAUCACUUUCAGGCCAUGAUAACAUGGGAACAAACAAUAUUUUAUGCAAAUUUUCAAGUUAAAUAAAAGCAUUGCUAGUCAGUCAGUUAGGUUCCUAUGCUCAGUGCUGUGUUCCUCAAAGGAGAGCACUGGUUCUGAUAAAGACCAAAGAUGGAAUUUAUCUGAAUCUAGCUCCAAGGAGGUGGAGAGGCCUGUUUGCCUCAAACUCCCAUCUCCCCAUAUUCAGGUGGGCAUGGGUGCUUACUUUAAGGAACAAAGGGAAGAAGGAGAACAGAGGGAGGAUAUUUUAUCCCCUCUGCCACCUUCAGCUCAUCUGCUUUUUCUUGUGGAAAGGAAAGCUACUCCAGCCUCCUGGGUCUGCAUGUUCUAUCACUUCAUCUGGGCCGGGGAGGAGGAGGUGUCGGACAUGUGCUCAGAGGAGGAAGCUUACAGAAGCUGCUUUUCUCUAAAAGAAAAAAAAAACAAAACUCCAACUUCUAAAAUUCCAUGUUGCACUGCUGGUUACAAAAGAACAGAGAUGGGACUCUACCAGUUAGAUGCCUUCUUCCAUGUGGGAGUUCUCUGCAAGAAGUUCUAUGUAUUCGGUCAAUGAUAAUAAUUUCAUUGUAGAUAAAUCUUAUAAUUAUAGAGUUGUAGCAGCUACUGUAAUCACAAUAUAGAUGCCAUUAAAGAAGCUGAUGUAAGAAUGACUUUCUAAAAACUGUAGGUUAUUCUCCUACCUCAUUCAAUAAAGUAAUAAGUAUUGAUUUAAA